GAUGAACGCUGGCGGCGUGCCUAAUACAUGCAAGUCGAGCGAACGGACGAGAAGCUUGCUUCUCUGAUGUUAGCGGCGGACGGGUGAGUAACACGUGGAUAACCUACCUAUAAGACUGGGAUAACUUCGGGAAACCGGAGCUAAUACCGGAUAAUAUUUUGAACCGCAUGGUUCAAAAGUGAAAGACGGUCUUGCUGUCACUUAUAGAUGGAUCCGCGCUGCAUUAGCUAGUUGGUAAGGUAACGGCUUACCAAGGCAACGAUGCAUAGCCGACCUGAGAGGGGGAUCGGCCAACCUGGAACGUAGACCAGGCCCAGACCCCGAGGGGAGGAAGCAGGAGGGAAUUUGCCGAAAGGGGCGAAAGCCUGACGGAGCAACGCCGGGGGGGUGAUGAAGGUCUUCGGAUCGUAAAACUCUGUUUUUAGGGAAAAAAAAAUGGGUAAGUAACUGUGCAAAUCUUGAGGGUCCCAAAGAAAAAAGCCCCGGCUAACUCCGG
RNAcentral lists this ribosomal RNA (496 nucleotides) under uncultured bacterium. RNAcentral describes it as "partial 16S ribosomal RNA". It matches the Rfam family "Bacterial small subunit ribosomal RNA", at positions 28 to 506 of the family's 1533-position model. The record is from RNAcentral.